GCCCCGCGCGGAGCGCUCCUGCGCUGCGGUCUCCCGCGCGCUCCUGCACGGCUGCAACGCCCCACGCCCGCCACCGCCGCCUUCCCUCCUCGCUCCCUGGGUGAGUCACUGCGGGUCUGUGCUCGGGCGUCCUCUGCACGGGUACACGGAAGGCCUCCAAAGCUGGUGCUGCGUCACCCUCAACCAGGGGAAACUGAGGCCGAGGGGCCAGGGUCAGCACCAGGCGAGCCCCGCCUCCCACGGGCCGUGGCCUCCCAGGACUCGCGUGUCCUCACGAAGAGACACGGGGUGGGCGGCGACCCGGGCUGAGUGGCCCCAGCGGGCUCAGGGCGCGGAGCACCCACGGUCGGGGACCCGAGUCCUCGUGCAUCCUCAGCCCGUUGUGAGUUCCUACGCAAGGUCAGUCGUUGUGCAGGUCCUAGGCCAUUGACUACUGCUCCCUUCCAAGGCGAGCACUAAAGCCUCCAUUUUGCAGACGACUUGGCUACGAUUUAAGUUGACGCUCCAGGGCCCCAGGGGACAGCGACCCGACUCCUACGCGCCUGCUCUACACUGAAGCUGGGUCCCCUGCUUCUCCCUGCCUGGGCCUGCUGCUGUCCUGAAGACUGAUGGAAACUGUCCUUGCGAUGGAGAUGUUGGCUCUGCAGCAGCCAGUGCCUCUCCUCUCCGCACUCCUGCUGGAGUGGCUCCACUGUCCCCAGAGAGAAUUUCCCUGGGGUAACGGCUGCUGCUUAUGAAAACCUUGAAGCUUGGUGAUCUGGGAUCACCUUCCCAGGGCACCUGCAGAAGGGAUGGUAAGCUCAGCGGGAUACAGAGAAUGUGGAAAAUCCCCUGUGUAGAGUGAAGCCUGGUGGGAGCACAUGAGGGCCUGGGUCUGAAAGCCAGAAAGACCCCCAAAUCUGGAAGUCAAAUCAUGGCUGAGUUUCUUCAUUUUUUUCCUGUAAGGUACGGAAACUGCAAAGUUUCUGUGAGGGCAGAGACCUUGGAUCCUUUUUUUUUUAAUAGGACUGGGAUUCGAACUCAUUGCUUUGUGUUUGCAAAACAGGUAUUCUUCGGCUUGAGCCACCCCUCUAGCCCAUUUUGUUUUGUUUUUGAGCCCUAGUGUCUGGCUGCAAGUAGGUAUUCAUUAUAUGUGAGUAUUUGAACAGAAGCUGGUCUUCUUGUGGACUCUUGAUGGUAGCAGAUAAAGUCUUUAUCUGAAGUCAUGAUCAUAUAGGGCCCAGAAUCCUUUGCGCUUGACGCGUGGACAGUCAACAAGUAUUUUCCAUUGGAGGUUCUUUGGCAGGAAAUGGAUCUCCGUCAACAAGGGAACUUUCUGGAACCUCUACUGUUUCAUCAGAGUUUGCACAAAAGGCCUGAAAAGUUCACUUGCCAUAGACGAUUUGUUGUCUCCUGUGGUGCUGUCAACUCUUCUUUUUGUACACGAGGAAAGGACAGGGCUCACGGGUUAGGAAUAACAGCCCACAUUUGUGAAGCAGCGAGCUACUGUGAGAGAAACUCUCCAUGUGCUUAUCAAGAUGGGCUUGACCAGGUGACAUUUAGGUGGCUUCUCUGGAUUUCUUGUUUAUUGCAGAGGUGUCCACUUGGUGCAAAGGAGUUCAUGAGAGGUGUCUUCACCCUUCCAGGAAGCAGCUCAACCAUGGUGCUCCCAAGGCAAGUCCAUUGUGAGCAGAGGUGCCAUGGGAGCUGUCGAGUCAGAAAAAUUCUAGACCCAUGUACCCUGAGGAGUAUUGAGAUUCCUUUUUGAGAUGAGCAUGCUGCAGAAAAACCCUGCAACUUGUACCUCGUUAACUGAAGCAUUCUCGUGAUGUCAGUGGGAAGCAUGAGAUAAUGGAGACCCAAAGGAACGAAGCCCCAGGGAUGGAGGCCCUAACACGCUCGGUAUGACCAUCUGGGUCCCUGCUCCCUGCAGGGGUCUCCUCAUGGUGAGUUACUGUGGGAGGGGAAUUCCAAGCCACUAGCCCUUGUCUCCCUUCCUUCCUGAGGCUAUGGUGACGGUCAUGGAAACUGGCAUAGCACAGAAGGAAGCAGACUGUCCACAGCUGCUCCAGCCUAGCACAGCACCUUUGCACUGUGGUCAGGCGGGACAGAGGGAUUUGGGUUCAGUGGUGGACACACUCCAGCUGUUCUGCCCUGCCCCAGCAGUGCCCCAGGAUACCAUGAACAUGAAGACUCGUUUUUCUUCAUUUCUGCCAGGUCAUACAUGGCCAGACUCCGAGUCAUCUUGCCUACUCCUGGGGUAACUGUAGAUCCAAGACAUCCUGGUGAUGUUUUCAUGGGUUUUUUUGUUUGUUUGUUUGUUGUUGUUUUUGAGUCAGGGUCUCACUAUGCAGCCCGAGAUGACCCUGAACUCACUGGGUAGUCCAGGCUGGCUUUGAACUCAUUAUCUUCCUGUGUCUGCCUCCCAAGUGCUGGGAUUACAGGUCUGUACCACCACACCCAGCUGUUUUGUAGUUGGUGGUGGUGUUUUUUUGUUUGUUGUUUUGUUUUUUGAAAGAGAAUCUCCGUAUGUUUCCCAGGCUGGACUCGAACUCCUGAUCUCAAGUGGUCCUCCCGCCUCAGCCUCCCAAGUGCUAGGCUUACAGGUGUGUGUCAGCACACCUGGUGUUGUGUAGUUUG
Castor canadensis (American beaver) is the source of this 2619-nucleotide long non-coding RNA. RefSeq lists it as uncharacterized. Lineage: Eukaryota; Metazoa; Chordata; Mammalia; Rodentia; Castoridae. The record is from RefSeq and is a predicted model, not a curated record.